Molecule: ribosomal RNA, 407 nt
Filed under: uncultured bacterium
Lineage: Bacteria
Description: bacterial SSU rRNA
Rfam family: Bacterial small subunit ribosomal RNA
Source: RNAcentral
GAACGAACGCUGGCGGCAGGCCUAACACAUGCAAGUCGAGCGCCCAGCAAGUGGGAGCGGCAGACGGGUGAGUAACGCGUGGGAACCUUCCCAAUGGUACGGAAUAGCUCAGGGGAAACUUGAGGUAAUACCGCAUAAGCCCGAAAGGGGAAAGAUUUAUCGCCAUUGGAUGGGCCCGCGUAGGAUUAGCUAGUUGGUGAGGUAAUGGCUCACCAAGGCGACGAUCCUUAGCUGGUUUGAGAGAAUGACCAGCCACACUGGGACUGAGACACGGCCCAGACUCCUACGGGAGGCAGCAGUGGGGAAUCUUGGACAAUGGGCGCAAGCCUGAUCCAGCCAUGCCGCGUGAGUGACGAAGGUCUUCGGAUUGUAAAGCUCUUUUGCCAGGGACGAUAAUGACGGUACCU